This 454-nucleotide ribosomal RNA is filed under the name uncultured bacterium. Its description in RNAcentral is "partial 16S ribosomal RNA". It matches the Rfam family "Bacterial small subunit ribosomal RNA", at positions 28 to 507 of the family's 1533-position model. The record is from RNAcentral.
GAUGAACGCUGACAGAAUGCUUAACACAUGCAAGUCAACUUGAACUUCGGUUUGGGUGGCGGACGGGUGAGUAACGCGUAAAGAACUUGCCUCACAGAUAGGGACAACAUUUGGAAACGAAUGCUAAUACCUGAUAUUAUGAUUUUAGGGCAUCCUAGGAUUAUGAAAGCUAUAUGCGCUGUGAGAGAGCUUUGCGUCCCAUUAGCUAGUUGGAGAGGUAACGGCUCACCAAGGCGAUGAUGGGUAGCCGGCCUGAGAGGGGGAUCGGCCACAAGGGGACUGAGACACGGCCAUUACUCCUACGGGAGGCAGCAGUGGGGAAUAUUGGACAAUGGACCAAGAGUCUGAUCCAGCAAUUCUGUGUGCACGAUGAAGUCUUUCGGAAUGUAAAGUGCUUUCAGUUGGGAAGAAAAAAAUGACGGUACCAACAGAAGAAGUGACGGCUAAAUACGUG